GAUGAAGAACGUAGCGAAAUGCGAUACGUAAUGUGAAUUGCAGAAUUCAGUGAAUCAUCGAAUCUUUGAACGCACAUUGCGCCCCUUGGUAUUCCAUGGGGCAUGCCUGUUCGAGCGUCAUUUGUACCUUCAAGCUCUGCUUGGUGUUGGGUGUUUGUCUCGCCUCUGCGUGUAGACUCGCCUCAAAACAAUUGGCAGCCGGCGUAUUGAUUUCGGAGCGCAGUACAUCUCGCGCUUUGCACUCAUAACGACGACGUCCAAAAGUACAUUUUUACACUCUUGACCUCGGAUCAGGUAGGGAUACCCGCUGAACUUAAGCAUAUCAAUAAGCGGAGGA
RNAcentral lists this unclassified non-coding RNA (337 nucleotides) under soil metagenome. RNAcentral describes it as "partial contains 5.8S ribosomal RNA, internal transcribed spacer 2, and large subunit ribosomal RNA". The stretch from base 1 to 120 matches the Rfam family "5.8S ribosomal RNA", at positions 35 to 154 of the family's 154-position model. The record is from RNAcentral.